RNAcentral lists this transfer RNA (75 nucleotides) under Enterovibrio nigricans. RNAcentral describes it as "tRNA-Met". It matches the Rfam family "tRNA". Rfam says of the family: Transfer RNA (tRNA) molecules are approximately 80 nucleotides in length. The record is from RNAcentral. Lineage: Bacteria; Pseudomonadati; Pseudomonadota; Gammaproteobacteria; Vibrionales; Vibrionaceae.
GGCCCUUAGCUCAGUGGUUAGAGCAGUCGACUCAUAAUCGAUUGGUCCCCAGUUCAAGUCUGGGAGGGGCCACCA